This 424-nucleotide ribosomal RNA is filed under the name uncultured bacterium. RNAcentral describes it as "bacterial SSU rRNA". It matches the Rfam family "Bacterial small subunit ribosomal RNA", at positions 355 to 776 of the family's 1533-position model. The record is from RNAcentral.
UGGGGAAUAUUGGUCAAUGGGCGAAAGCCUGAACCAGCAAUGCCGCGUGGGUGAUGAAGGCCUUCGGGUUGUAAAGCCCUGUCAGGGGGAACGAAAAAGCCGGCUAAUCACCGGUAUUGACGGUACCCCCAAAGGAAGCACCGGCUAACUCUGUGCCAGCAGCCGCGGUAAUACAGAGGGUGCAAGCGUUGUUCGGAAUUACUGGGCGUAAAGCGCGUGUAGGCGGUCUUGUAAGUCGGAUGUGAAAUCCCUCGGCUUAACCGAGGAACUGCAUCUGAUACUGCUAGACUAGAGUGUCGGAGGGGAUGGCGGAAUUCCCGGUGUAGAGGUGAAAUUCGUAGAUAUCGGGAGGAACAUCUGUGGCGAAGGCGGCCAUCUGGAAGACAACUGACGCUGAGACGCGAAAGCAUGGGGAGCAAACAGG